Molecule: non-coding RNA, 23 nt
Filed under: Arabidopsis thaliana (thale cress)
Lineage: Eukaryota; Viridiplantae; Streptophyta; Magnoliopsida; Brassicales; Brassicaceae
Source: RNAcentral
CAUCCGCUAUGUAGGGAUACCCC